Pan troglodytes (chimpanzee) is the source of this 1506-nucleotide long non-coding RNA. RefSeq lists it as uncharacterized. The record is from RefSeq and is a predicted model, not a curated record. Lineage: Eukaryota; Metazoa; Chordata; Mammalia; Primates; Hominidae. The transcript has 8 exons.
UCCUAUCAUGUGACCACUUGUCACACUUCCAUCAAACAGUACCUGCCCCUUAGGUGUGCUAGGGAAUAAAUGAAAUGCCUGGGACAUCAUCGUUAAGUGGCAUCUGAUGCAUAAGCAGUGCCCUAGGAACGGGGUUGCCUGCCUUGGUCUCUAAAGGAUGGGUUCAAAAGGCAAGAGCAGCACACAAGAAGAUAGCUUCAAGCAGGAGAAAAAGCUUGGCCCAGGGCCCAAAGGGGAUACGACCCUUCAGGUUGGCCCUGACCUCUGGGUUGGAUUACCAGUGACACAAUGAACAUUUCAUUAUGAGGCCAUCCCUUGAGCAAACUGACAUGCUGAAAGCUGCCCUAUGGAGAGGCUCAUGUGGCAAGGAACAUGGGGGUGGCUUCUGGCCAACACCCAGUGAGGAACUCAGGCCCUCAGUCAAACAGCCUGCAAGGAACUGAACCCUGCCAAUAACCAUAUCAUCACGUAUAAUUCUAGAGGCAGUGUCAGACCCCGGCCAAUGACCACCAUGGACCUCCCUGUAGUUGAACAAAGUUGGGUUUGCUGACUGGUGGCAGUGAGGGAGAAUGCACACCACAGGGAGCUGUGCAGUGUCUCAGUAAGAAGCCAGGAGCCAUCCCAUGAGGCCGUUACUGCAAACAAGCUGAAAAUCCUGCUUUGUUUCUUUUGGACACAACAUGCUUUCCUUCAGCUUCAGUAGACGAUGAGGCCAGCACCACAUGGGCUAGAUGUACAUGAGAUGUGAGCAACCACACUUCCCCUCUGACGGGGACAGACAGCAUCACAGGACAUGAAGUUCUAAGAGUUUCAGUGACUUGUCUAAGAUUAAACAGCUAUGAAUGGAGAACUGGAGGAAAAUGCCUCAUCAUCUCUCACCUGGGCAACUGCAACAAUGAGCAGCUUGUGUCUGUGCCUGCAUCCAUCCUUCCAUCCUGUUCUCCAGCAGCAGCCAGGGUGGUCUUUCAAAAAUGCAAAGCUGAUAAUGUUACUCCCCUGCUGUAAACCUUCCAGCGGUUUCCUAUUGCCUUCAGAAUAAAAUACGAAUCGUCCGGCCUCCAUCUAUCUCUCCAGGCUCAUCCUCUCUCAAUUUUCCAUAUCCUUCAGGCUGAGCUCUGAAACUUCUCCUGGCAGUUCAAGAGAGCGAUGGAGGGAAUGCUGGGGCACAUCUAAAUAAAGCCCCCAAGUGGGAGUUCCUGCUCAGCUAUGCAUGAGCUCUUUGUGACUUCAUCUCCCAGCCUACAACUUGUGAAAUAAGCACGACUUCACUCAGAGCACAGCCAGAAACAUACAAACUUUCCAAAAAUAUUUGAAUGUUGACAGCAGACUGUCUUGCAUUCCAGUGAAUAAUUGGUUUGUAUGAGUGUGUGUGUGACCUAAAUCCACAGAACUUACCAUUCUGUGGCUAUACAAACAGCACAUUUUUGCAGUAGGACCAUUUGUUUCUGUGACAUGGGUCUUACACAGGACCACAUACUGGAGGCCUCGGUGAAGCUUGAGGACAUC